ACGUAGGUGGCAAGCGUUGUCCGGAUUUAUUGGGUUUAAAGGGUGCGUAGGCGGUUGAUUAAGUCAGUUGUGAAAUACGGCAGCUUAACUGUCGAGGUGCAAUUGAUACUGGUUGACUUGAGUACAGACGAGGUAGGCGGAAUUGACGGUGUAGCGGUGAAAUGCAUAGAUAUCGUCAAGAACACCGAUAGCGAAGGCAGCUUACUAGACUGUAACUGACGCUGAGGCACGAAAGUGUGGGGAUCAAACAGGAUUAGAUACCCUGGUAGUCCACACUGUAAACGAUGAUUACUCGAUGUUGGCGAUACACAGCCAGCGUCUUAGCAAAAGCGAUAAGUAAUCCACCUGGGGAGUACGCCCGCAAGGGUG
Molecule: ribosomal RNA, 369 nt
Filed under: uncultured bacterium
Lineage: Bacteria
Description: bacterial SSU rRNA
Rfam family: Bacterial small subunit ribosomal RNA
Source: RNAcentral